RNAcentral lists this unclassified non-coding RNA (271 nucleotides) under uncultured fungus. Its description in RNAcentral is "partial contains 5.8S ribosomal RNA, internal transcribed spacer 2, and large subunit ribosomal RNA". Lineage: Eukaryota; Fungi. The record is from RNAcentral.
AACGCACCUUGCACUCUCUGGUAUUCCGGAGAGUAUGCCUGUUCGAGUGUCGUGAAGUACUCAACUUGCAGCUUAGUUGCUUGCAGGCUUGGAAUUGGGACCUGUCGGCGCAAGUCGACUGUCCUGAAAUGCAUUAGCCCUGAAUGCGAUCGUCGCAACUAAGCGUGAUAAACUUUGUCUUCGCUGAAAGCGUUCGUUCGGAGGGGCUCACAGAAACCCAUACUUUUUCACCUUUGACCUCGAAUCAGGUAGGAUUACCCGCUGAACUUAA